AAGAAAGAAAGAGGGAACGGGGGCUGCAUUUACAUUACAAAUUGAUAUUAUGUUUACAAUCGAUCAGAUCUCUCGCUUUCGCCCUCGCUCGUUGCAUCAUAAUCGCACGCAUGGAUCUUGUUUCUGUAAUGAUCUUGCUUUUCAUCGCACAUAUGGAUCUUGUUUCUUCAAUGAUCUCACUUUUCAAUACUGAAAUUUCACACAUGGAUCUUGUUUCUCUGAUGAUCUCAAUUUUCAGUACUGAUGAUAGGGUACGUAUUCUGUUCUUUAUUAUAAUUGGAAUUACAUUUUACUACUAUGUUUUGUUUUGUAGGAAUUAGGGUUUACUACUCUAUUUUGUUUUGUAUCAUAAGAAUUAGGAUUAGGGCUAGGAAGUUAUCUUCUUUUAAGGGUAAAUUAUGUUUUUCGUCCUUUAUGUUAUCAGAUUGCAAUGGAUGACAUUUAACUUCAAUAAUUAUGGUCACAAUCCUUUAUUUAUAAAACUCAUUACAUCUUAUGUCCUUUGGCCCUAACCUAGUUAAAAUUUUCAGUAAACUCUACUCAUAUAAGGGCAAUUUAGUCUUCUUACUUAGAUCAUGACAUUUAAUAGUAAAAGAUAGUUUAAAUGAUUAUUUAUCUAUACUAUAUUAUCAUGCAUGAGGCAAGGGCAUUUUAAGAUAUCCAAAAAAUAAGAACUCCCCCCCUCUUUAUUUAUAUAAAGACCCCUAAAAUGAGGGUAGUUUGGUCUUUUAAACAGUAUUUAUUUUUUAGCCCCUUAACUUAUUACACUUACAUCCCUAAGGUUUUAACAAAAUUAUAGAUAAUUAGUUACAAUUCACCUCUCCACAACAAACUUAUAAUUUUUUUUUUAUUUAUUCUUGACAUAUCUUAUAAACUAUAUUGUUUAAAAAAAAUUCAAAGAUAGCAUGAUGACCUACACAUUUUUGUCGACGUUUCGGUAGUUGUCUUGUUCAAUAUCGACGCACGGAUUAAAAGAUACAAGUAGAUAAUGUUUUAAUGUACAAGUGAUUAAAUAAGAAUAUAACAACUAAUCUAUAUUAUAUAAUCAUUUAAUAAGUUAAAUAAUAGGUUCUAUAAGAUUUUCAUUCUAAAAUUUUAUGAACUAAAAAUAUUGUCAAAUAAUUGAUCAGACGAUUUCUUUAUACUUUAGUCAAAUUUUAACAAAACUUCCUAAUUUUAAGGAUAGAUAGUAUAACAAACCUUAUAUAAAAAAGAUGAAAAAACUAAGUGGGAAACAAUUUUUAAAAUUUAAAACAUAUAGUUGUUAUCUGUAUUGUUUUAUAAAGCACAUAGGAAGAUACUCCGUCGCCAUCUCUCUCUCUCUCAGGAUACUCUUCAGUCGUCUUCCACCUUUCUCCCAUUGUUUUGUUUUCCUACUUCUGCUCCUCCGUCCGCCAGAGGCACCACCGGCUACUAACAACUCCAUCUUUAUCAUUGUAGGUUUUGUAUCAGAUGCAACUUCGGUGGUGAAUUUUUUGAAAGAUUAGUCUUCCUCCUAUCAUGAGUCAACUCCUCUCUUAUUGUUGACUCCCUUAACCCCAAGUGUUGAUUCCGUUGAAUGAGCAUGGCAGAUCCUUGGUCAAAUUCUUGAAGUGCUCCUGGUGCAUAUAGUCAUAGUUAGGUAGGAUAUAUUUAGGCCUCCAUAAGUGGAAUAAGCUUGCAAACAUUGGUUGGCUUGCUUUCUCUUUCACAUGCUUUGACGGUGAAAUAAAAGAGUGGGAAGAAGGAACAGUAACUACCGGUGGCAGUUCGGAAGAAGGCGCGCGGAUGAUGUAUUUCAGUAAUAUAAGACAUUAAUAUAUUUAACUUCAGUUAUUUUGAAAUUCUUUUGGGUCUAUUUCAGAAGUUAUAUUGUUGGUCAACCUAAUGGAAUGAGCAUUACAUUCCAUUGUCUUUCUUGGCUGGCUCGUAUAUGGAACAAGGUUUAAUUUUUUUAGUA
Long non-coding RNA from Helianthus annuus (common sunflower), 1939 nucleotides. RefSeq lists it as uncharacterized. The record is from RefSeq and is a predicted model, not a curated record. Lineage: Eukaryota; Viridiplantae; Streptophyta; Magnoliopsida; Asterales; Asteraceae. The transcript is spliced from 4 exons.